AAGGCAGCGGCUUAACCCACUGAGCCACACAGGCGCCCCUGUAUCACAGUUUAUGAGCAAAGCUGCUGUAAACAUCCAUGUACAGGAUUUUGUGUGGACGGUUCGGAUUUUGGCCCUUCGAACAGAUUUCAUUUUUAAGUAAUCUCCACACCCAACAUAGGACUGGAACUCACAGUCCUCAGAUCAGAGUCGCAGGCUCCGCCAACUGAGCCAGGUGAAUUUUAAGAGCUCUUGGUGUAUUUUGGGUAGCAGUCCCUUAUCAGAUGUGUCCUUUUUUUUUUUUUUUAAAGAUUUUAAAAAUUUUUUAUUUAUUUUAGUGACAGAGAUCAUAAGUA
Long non-coding RNA from Neogale vison (American mink), 335 nucleotides. RefSeq lists it as uncharacterized. The record is from RefSeq and is a predicted model, not a curated record. Lineage: Eukaryota; Metazoa; Chordata; Mammalia; Carnivora; Mustelidae. The transcript is spliced from 3 exons.